UCAGAUAAAACCAUUGAAACUACAAACGUUUAUUGGAACGAAUAUCGCUAAAUUACGUAAAAAAAACCCCUUUCUCUCGCGACAAAACAGAACCAAACCCUAGAAAGCCAGCCGCCGUUCUUUGUUCUCUGCUCCGGCGGUCGGUGCUUCUCACCGCCGCCGGGAGCGGCCCCGUCUCUCCUUCCCUUAGGUCUCUAUGUAUUUGUUUUCGGUAAAGCAUCACCGUUUUCAGUUUGGUUUCAGAUCUGAGUUAACAGAGGGAUUCGAUGACUCUGGUCUUGGAUCUUCUUCGUUGUGGCUUGGAUGUAGUAGUCUAUGGGCUGGGUUUGUCGGAUUUAGUGCGGUGGUCAUGAGCUCGCCUGUCGGGUUCAGGUUCCGCUGAAGUUCGGUGGUCAAUCAAGGCUACGGGCUCUCCGUUCUGAAGCCAAUCAUAGGUGUUUUGUUAUGUUUCUAUGUUAGUAUAUGGUCCUUAGUUGGUUGAUUUGUGGUCUUGAGGCUUUGACGGCUUGGACAUCCUUGAAGACCUGGUCGAGUUUGCGUUGCUCUUUCUCGCUAUGCUUGGGUUGCUUCUUCAUCUUCGAAUCUGUUUUCUGGUGCGCGGUGCAGGAAUAAAUCGGCUCUGAUGUGGGUAGCUACUUCUUUCAUCGAAUUUGGUGAGGUGGUUUAGGUGGGUUUGCGAUGGUUCUGCGCUAUCGGCUCUCUUCUCUGUCCUCUAAGGUCGUCUUUGUUGAAGGUUCUAUAAGUUAUGGCCAGUGUUGAUGCUAUGUUUGUGAGUAAGAGUUCUCUGAAUUUAUGGAGUUUGGUGGUCUUGAGACAGUGGUGCUUAGUGUUAUCAGUUUGGGUCUUUCAGCUGUGCUCUAAGUUCUUGACUUCUGCUUUCAGUAGCGUCAUAUGUCCUCCGGGCUCGUCUUCGGUAAGGUCUUGAUGCUCGACCCUUGUGUUUACUAAUGAUUGGAUCAUUGUGAAGCCUCGAUAGUGCGUUGUCAUGCCGUUUCUUGGUUUUAAACCAACGGGUUUCUCCGGAUUUCUUGGUAAGAAACUGUGGAGCUCUAGCUCAAUUGCGUUGGGUCUUUGAGUAGUUAGAUUGUCAACCUGUUCUUCGUCGGCUGCUCGGAUGGAGAUCCGCCUUCUCGUGGCUUCCAAAAGUUGAAGCUUGUUCUUGAGUGGCGUGUGCUCGGGAUCCUCUGUUGGAUCGUGUCUUGGAGCUCUUCUAUCAUCCUAAUAAUUCCGACCUUCAACGCUUUCUUCGUUAAUCACGGCUUCCCUAUCGAGUUGCUUUGCUAUAUUGAUACUUGUUUUAGCUCCAUUAAUUUUUCAGUGGUCUUGUUCCUUCCUAGCCUAUGUCUUGAUAGUUGUCGUAUUGUUUUCAUCUUUGUCUCUAGGUAGUAAUGUUUACUACGCUGGCUGUUGGCUCCGGAAGGGAUCUUUACCUUUGCUGGCUUUGUGUAAUUCACGUUAUAAGUUUGAAUAUUAAUCCAACAGAUGACAAAAAAAAAAAGAACGAAUAUCGCUCAACCUUUUUCUUUAAAAAUAAUUUAACUAGGGAAGAUUGCAAGGAAAACAUCCAACAUAUUUUUAUGUAUCUAUCCAUUAGUAAAAGUUAGGUUUAAGAACUUUAAUAAUGAGCAUGUGAAUUGAUUGGGAAACUUAGAAUGUAAGCAAUCAGUUUAUCAUCACUAACUAAAAAUUUGAAACAUCAAAUCUAUUAUGGUGUAAAGAUUAACACGAACGAGAUUGAGACAUUACAUGAGGAAACAUCAUAUAAAACACACACAUAGAUAUAAAUAAUUAUGAAGGAAGAAAAAGAGAGAAACAAAUAAAAAAGUAGAAAAGCCAAUAUUUAUGGGAGUGUCAGUGUCAUCUCUACAAUGUAGAGCCCAAUCAAUCCGAUCUAGUGUUUUCGGUCAGUGUUCCUUUCAUACCAUGGCCAAUAAAACAUUUUCUUGGCUGUAUUAUCUAGCCAGAAAAUAGAACAUGAGAAUAAAAGAAUAGAGAAAAAUAAUAAUGAUAAAUGUUAAAAUCAUUAAAACAUUUAAAAUAUGCUUUCAAGAGUAGUUUAUAAAUUUUGUGGGAGAUUUGCCUCUUUGUAAUGUGUAAAAUUAAAUUAUUUUUUUGUUUGACAAUAUGUAUGCAGUGAAGUCUUUAAUAUCAGUUUAAAAAUCAAUUAUUGUGAUAUAAACAUUCAAUUUUGUUUAAUCAGGUGAAAAAAAACAUUCAAUUUUGUUAACUCAUAUUAACUCUUUGAAAGCUUUACCCAGUUCACAAUGAACCAAACUUGUAUGCAAGGAGUGAUUGAAAUAACAACAUAUGAAACCUCAUUCAUUACUUGACGUUUUUUUGUUGUCAUUCUCGUUACCUUGUCCCACACGGUAUCACUAAGAAGGGAGCAAGGAGUUUCAGAACAAAUAUUUCUACUUAUAUCGAAGCAUUUGCUCAUUUACCCUCAAAAACAGAAGAUCUUUCGGUUUUACACCGAUCACUCAUCGUUUGUCUCAAGGGAAGAUUGUAAUACUUCUUCUAAAUACUUUUCCGCGGCUGCAAACUGUCUCUUCUUGUCCUCGAUUGCUAGUGCAGCCAGAGCUUUGUCCUGUUCAAAAAAAUAAGGAAGCAAUCUACUGUGAAUAGACUAGCAACAACUACUAACAACAAAGAGGAGACUGAUAAGCUGAUCAAUGAGAGGUUUAAUGAAUAUUUGGAAGAACCAGAGAUGUAUCAGCCUUUUUUUGGAUUCAGUUGAAAGGAAAUAAUAAGAUUACCGGAGGCAAGUCCUGGUAGCUUCUUAGAGUAUCAACGACAGGUUUUGUCAUCUUCUCCAAUUCCUUCCUGUGCUCUGCCAUUUCCACCAGCUCUCUAUGGCUAAUCUUGGUACCGUAACCAACUCGGUUGAGCAACACCUGCUCCCAAGAAUAUACAUAAGACAAACUAUGCUAGCCAAACAUAAUCAGUGAAAGGAGAAGAAGGCGUCUACCUCAUACUUCUUGUACUGCUGUAUAUACUGAUCCUCCUUGGCCGCCAUUACUUCCAAAUUCGUUCUCCAAUUCUCCAUCUAUGACUCACAACUUGUUCUUCUAAUAGAUUCCUAUGUUACCUCUAGUCUCUACUCUUUCCAAUCUCGUUUGUGCUUAUUCUUCUAACAGAUUCCUGUGUUACUUUGUCACAGAUUAAUAGCUUCUUCAAGGUGAGCGCCUUAUUGCGCCAUGACGUAAGUGAUGUUAGGAGUUUUCAAGGCUCCUAAGACAAAUGUUGUAGUAUAAAUGAUUGUCGAACCAGUUCUGAGAGAUAUGAAAGCACCGAGAAUGCAAGUACUCACUUAAUCUAAGUGCAACCAAUGAUUUAGAUGAGUUUUAAGCUAUGACUAAAACUAAAAAGCAAUAACAGAAUGAUACUUUCUUGACUAAGGGAAAAGAGAACUCAUGGGCAUAGGGAUUAGACCUUGGGUGAUCAAGUUUCGAACUGAGGAUGACAAAUGAUCAAUCAAACUAUCGACCUUAAGCCUAGACACAAUUCUAAGCAAGCUCUAUGUCUAGAUGAAUGCUCAUUUGCUAACAUAUCUCAAACAUCAAAUGUCUUUGGUUGAAUAAUAUGAAAGCAAUCAUUAGAUCGCCUAAAAUAUAUAUCCAAUAUACUUAUUUUACAAAUACAUAACAUCUCGGGGAUUAUCUCGAAUAUAUUUCCAUAUAGUUAUUAGAAAAUAGUAACGAAAACUUCGAAUAUUUUGUCACCUUGGCAGAAAAAUAUCAACAUGCAGACUGAUAUUGGUUCCAGAACAAUGCUAUAAAAUCGACAUUACAUUCUGCAUGGCAUUGGAGUUUACCUUUUUUGAAGAAUCAGAACAAUGUUGUGCUGAGAUACGGAGUCUAUCAACGUUGGGAGGGUCGCCGUAGAGCGAUCGAAACUCCUGUAAAGUGAGGUUAAUGUCUUCAUUUGAGAUAUCGUAUCCUCUGUCUCGGAGCAUCUCCAUGGUGGUUCGACGCGCCAGGUAAUAGCUGUGACUGUCCACACGUGAUUCAUCAAGGGACUUGCUCAGACCAGAGCCAACCGCUAACUCCUUACCUUUCCCCUCCAUCGUCUCUCUCGCGGGGAGGGAAAAAGCAUGCAAGCUUGAAUGUAGGAUUUUGCAGACGGCAUGAUGUUUUGUCGUUUUUAUUUGCGGGUGACGGUUUUACGGUGACAUCGAAUGAAGUAUGCAACAGGGUUUUAGUGGUAGCCAAUGAGCAAGCAGGUGAUGUAGUCAAAGGUGAGUAAAUGGUAGCUUUAGUGCUUCUUAUUGGCAUUGGUUUUGUAGUGGGAAACUCAAUACAAAUUUUGGCUCAAGACAUUUUAUAUAAAAAUAUUAUACAUUUUGGGGACAUGCAAAUAUAAACAUUAAUGAAGGCAUGUUUCCCUUGUUAUGAUGUUAUCUCUUGGGGACAUAUUUUUUAUGACUAGUCUAUGGGCUGGGUUUGUCGGAUUUAGUGCGGUGGUCAUGAGCUCGCCUGUCGGGUUCAGGUUCCGCUGAAGUUCGGUGGUCAAUCAAGGCUACGGGCUCUCCGUUCUGAAGCCAAUCAUAGGUGUUUUGUUAUGUUUCUAUGUUAGUAUAUGGUCCUUAGUUGGUUGAUUUGUGGUCUUGAGGCUUUGACGGCUUGGACAUCCUUGAAGACCUGGUCGAGUUUGCGUUGCUCUUUCUCGCUAUGCUUGGGUUGCUUCUUCAUCUUCGAAUCUGUUUUCUGGUGCGCGGUGCAGGAAUAAAUCGGCUCUGAUGUGGGUAGCUACUUCUUUCAUCGAAUUUGGUGAGGUGGUUUAGGUGGGUUUGCGAUGGUUCUGCGCUAUCGGCUCUCUUCUCUGUCCUCUAAGGUCGUCUUUGUUGAAGGUUCUAUAAGUUAUGGCCAGUGUUGAUGCUAUGUUUGUGAGUAAGAGUUCUCUGAAUUUAUGGAGUUUGGUGGUCUUGAGACAGUGGUGCUUAGUGUUAUCAGUUUGGGUCUUUCAGCUGUGCUCUAAGUUCUUGACUUCUGCUUUCAGUAGCGUCAUAUGUCCUCCGGGCUCGUCUUCGGUAAGGUCUUGAUGCUCGACCCUUGUGUUUACUAAUGAUUGGAUCAUUGUGAAGCCUCGAUAGUGCGUUGUCAUGCCGUUUCUUGGUUUUAAACCAACGGGUUUCUCCGGAUUUCUUGGUAAGAAACUGUGGAGCUCUAGCUCAAUUGCGUUGGGUCUUUGAGUAGUUAGAUUGUCAACCUGUUCUUCGUCGGCUGCUCGGAUGGAGAUCCGCCUUCUCGUGGCUUCCAAAAGUUGAAGCUUGUUCUUGAGUGGCGUGUGCUCGGGAUCCUCUGUUGGAUCGUGUCUUGGAGCUCUUCUAUCAUCCUAAUAAUUCCGACCUUCAACGCUUUCUUCGUUAAUCACGGCUUCCCUAUCGAGUUGCUUUGCUAUAUUGAUACUUGUUUUAGCUCCAUUAAUUUUUCAGUGGUCUUGUUCCUUCCUAGCCUAUGUCUUGAUAGUUGUCGUAUUGUUUUCAUCUUUGUCUCUAGGUAGUAAUGUUUACUACGCUGGCUGUUGGCUCCGGAAGGGAUCUUUACCUUUGCUGGCUUUGUGUAAUUCACGUUAUAAGUUUGAAUAUUAAUCCAACAGAUGACAAAAAAAAAAAGAACGAAUAUCGC
Molecule: long non-coding RNA, 5627 nt
Filed under: Brassica napus (rape)
Lineage: Eukaryota; Viridiplantae; Streptophyta; Magnoliopsida; Brassicales; Brassicaceae
Description: long non-coding RNA (BNAP_LNC008231)
Source: RNAcentral